GGACCCGCACAAGUAGUGGAGCAUGUGGUUUAAUUCGAUGCAACGCGAAGAACCUUACCAGGGUUUGACAUCCUGCGAAUCUCUUGGAAACAGGAGAGUGCCUUCGGGAACGCAGUGACAGGUGGUGCAUGGCUGUCGUCAGCUCGUGUCGUGAGAUGUUGGUUAAGUCCCGCAACGAGCGCAACCCACGUCUUUAGUUGCCAGCAUUUAGUUGGGCACUCUAGAGAGACUGCCGGUGAUAAACCGGAGGAAGGUGUGGAUGACGUCAAGUCAUCAUGCCCCUUACAUCCUGGGCUACACACGUACUACAAUGCUACGGACAAAGGGCAGCAAGUUCGCGAGGAC
Molecule: ribosomal RNA, 345 nt
Filed under: uncultured bacterium
Lineage: Bacteria
Description: bacterial SSU rRNA
Rfam family: Bacterial small subunit ribosomal RNA
Source: RNAcentral